UUUCACAGAUGAAGGAGACCAGGAGAGAGCUUAAUCGCUUCUUCCCCAGCAGGGCCAAGUCCCUGGGUUUCUUACAGCUGGGCCUCCCACUACUCUACACCAACCCAGGGAGCGGAAACCUGAGUGUGAGCUCCAAACAGGUCACCAGGGGCUUCCUGGCCACUUCCUCUAAGGACCUAUGGAGAGGAGGAAACUGAGACACACUGUUGAGAAACUCACCCCACCAACAUGGCCAUAUGGACUCCACAGUCAAGCACAGCUUUGCUCCAGGGUCUGCUGAAACACUCGGUGCUUCUCAUCCCUGCACAACGCUAACCCUGCAGUGCUCUGCUUAAUACUCAGCUCUCCAGGAAGGAAGAAAGGAGAACCAUGGGGACCCAUCAGGAAACCGAAGGGCCACUGCCUACCGCAAGAAAGACAGGAAUUCUCAUGAGCAGGUGGAAGCCUAUGACUGCCGAUGAUCCUGCCUC
This is a long non-coding RNA of Mastomys coucha (southern multimammate mouse), 470 nucleotides long. RefSeq lists it as uncharacterized. The transcript is spliced from 3 exons. The record is from RefSeq and is a predicted model, not a curated record. NCBI's taxonomy places the organism in Eukaryota, Metazoa, Chordata, Mammalia, Rodentia, Muridae.